Molecule: transfer RNA, 72 nt
Organism: Camelus ferus (Wild Bactrian camel)
Lineage: Eukaryota; Metazoa; Chordata; Mammalia; Artiodactyla; Camelidae
Rfam family: tRNA
About the family: Transfer RNA (tRNA) molecules are approximately 80 nucleotides in length.
Source: Rfam
GAGGGUAUAGCUCAGAGGUAGAACACGUGCCUAGCAUGCCCAAGGUCCUGGGUUCAAUCCCCAGUACCUCCA